GCAAAGAAGGAAGCAGCCCAGACGGAGGAAGGUCGCCAGGCUGAGGCUGCCCGCCUCAAGGAGAAGAUCGCCGAAGUCACGAGUCUCCAAGAGGCGCUUCAGAAGGAGGAACAAACCUCGACAGAUCUGAAGGUCGCCCUGUAGGAGGAAAGGAAGAAGGCAGAGGCCGAGGUCUCCAAGCUGAAGGAGCAGAUCCCGACCC
This 202-nucleotide long non-coding RNA is filed under the name Elaeis guineensis (African oil palm). RNAcentral's name for it is "long non-coding RNA (EGUI_LNC057524)". Lineage: Eukaryota; Viridiplantae; Streptophyta; Magnoliopsida; Arecales; Arecaceae. The record is from RNAcentral.